UUGUACAUGAAACUAAAGAGCAUUCUUGACUUCCCCUACCUUUAUAGCAUUUUACCAUAAUCAAUAUAGAGAAGCUAUUUAAGAAUCAUGAAUUUUCUGAAUGGUAAAGUCAUUCCUAAUGCAGUUCACAAAAACAUUCUUUACCUUUGAUAUUAAGGAGGAAGUCAGAACAAAAAUCUUUAUCCAAACUAAGAUGCAGAAAUUGUCUAACAGUGGGCUUUUUAAUUAACAUAUAUGUCAAGUCUCAUGUUUGUAUUGAUUCAGUUGGUUUUGGUUAAAUUAAAAAACCUACUCUUCUCUCUCCUUCCCUCCGCCAUCGUGUUCUGUGCCAUCUCCCCUUCCCUGCUAUGUCUUCUCACAAGUCUUUCAGGAUCAAGCGAUUUCUAGCCAAGAAACAAAAACAGAACCGUCCCAUUCCCCAGUGGAUUCGGAUGAAAACUGGUAAUAAAAUCAGGUACAAUUCCAAGAGGAGACACUGGAGACGAACCAAGCUGGGUCUGUAAGGAUUCGCACGGAAACGGCGCAUGUAUUUAUGCUGUUGCUAUCAGCAG
Molecule: RNA transcript, 551 nt
Organism: Condylura cristata (star-nosed mole)
Lineage: Eukaryota; Metazoa; Chordata; Mammalia; Eulipotyphla; Talpidae
Gene name: 60S ribosomal protein L39 pseudogene
Exons: 1
Source: RefSeq, a predicted model, not a curated record